Molecule: ribosomal RNA, 1470 nt
Filed under: metagenome
Description: bacterial SSU rRNA
Rfam family: Bacterial small subunit ribosomal RNA
Source: RNAcentral
AGAGUUUGAUCCUGGCUCAGGACGAACGCUGGCGGCACGCUUAACACAUGCAAGUCGAACGAGAGAAGAGGAGCUUGCUUUUCUGAUCUAGUGGCGGACGGGUGAGUAACACGUGAGCAAUCUGCCUUUCAGAGGGGGAUACCGAUUGGAAACGAUCGUUAAUACCGCAUAACAUAAUUGAACCGCAUGAUUUGAUUAUCAAAGAUUUAUCGCUGAAAGAUGAGCUCGCGUCUGAUUAGCUAGUUGGUAAGGUAACGGCUUACCAAGGCGACGAUCAGUAGCCGGACUGAGAGGUUGAUCGGCCACAUUGGGACUGAGACACGGCCCAGACUCCUACGGGAGGCAGCAGUGGGGAAUAUUGCACAAUGGAGGAAACUCUGAUGCAGCGAUGCCGCGUGAGGGAAGAAGGUUUUAGGAUUGUAAACCUCUGUCUUCAGGGACGAAAAAAGACGGUACCUGAGGAGGAAGCUCCGGCUAACUACGUGCCAGCAGCCGCGGUAAUACGUAGGGAGCGAGCGUUGUCCGGAAUUACUGGGUGUAAAGGGAGCGUAGGCGGGAUCGCAAGUCAGAUGUGAAAACUAUGGGCUUAACCCAUAAACUGCAUUUGAAACUGUGGUUCUUGAGUGAAGUAGAGGUAAGCGGAAUUCCUAGUGUAGCGGUGAAAUGCGUAGAUAUUAGGAGGAACAUCAGUGGCGAAGGCGGCUUACUGGGCUUUAACUGACGCUGAGGCUCGAAAGCGUGGGGAGCAAACAGGAUUAGAUACCCUGGUAGUCCACGCCCUAAACGAUGAUUACUAGGUGUGGGGGGACUGACCCCUUCCGUGCCGCAGCAAACGCAAUAAGUAAUCCACCUGGGGAGUACGACCGCAAGGUUGAAACUCAAAGGAAUUGACGGGGGCCCGCACAAGCAGUGGAGUAUGUGGAUUAAUUCGAAGCAACGCGAAGAACCUUACCAGGUCUUGACAUCGUAUGCAUAGCUCAGAGAUGAGUGAAAUCUCUUCGGAGACAUAUAGACAGGUGGUGCAUGGUUGUCGUCAGCUCGUGUCGUGAGAUGUUGGGUUAAGUCCCGCAACGAGCGCAACCCUUACUGUUAGUUGCUACGCAAGAGCACUCUAGCAGGACUGCCGUUGACAAAACGGAGGAAGGUGGGGAUGACGUCAAAUCAUCAUGCCCCUUAUGACCUGGGCCUCACACGUACUACAAUGGCUGUCAACAGAGGGAAGCAAAGCCGCGAGGUGGAGCGAACCCCUAAAAGCAGUCUUAGUUCGGAUUGUAGGCUGCAACCCGCCUACAUGAAGUCGGAAUUGCUAGUAAUCGCAGAUCAGCAUGCUGCGGUGGAUACGUUCCCGGGCCUUGUACACACCGCCCGUCACGCCAUGGGAGUCGGUAACACCCGAAGCCUGUAGUCUAACCGCAAGGAGGACGCAGUCGAAGGUGGGAUUGAUGACUGGGGUGAAGUCGUAACAAGGUA